This 76-nucleotide transfer RNA is filed under the name Brevibacterium sp. 239c. RNAcentral's name for it is "tRNA_Thr_TGT". It matches the Rfam family "tRNA". Rfam says of the family: Transfer RNA (tRNA) molecules are approximately 80 nucleotides in length. Their secondary structure includes four short double-helical elements and three loops (D, anti-codon, and T loops). The record is from RNAcentral. Lineage: Bacteria; Bacillati; Actinomycetota; Actinomycetes; Micrococcales; Brevibacteriaceae.
GCCGCCUUAGCUCAUCUGGUAGAGCAAUGAUCUUGUAAGUCAUAGGUGAUCGGUUCGAGUCCGAUAGGCGGCUCAA